Molecule: long non-coding RNA, 331 nt
Organism: Herpailurus yagouaroundi (jaguarundi)
Lineage: Eukaryota; Metazoa; Chordata; Mammalia; Carnivora; Felidae
Exons: 4
Source: RefSeq, a predicted model, not a curated record
CGGAAGACACUCGGCGGUCAGGCACCGCGUCUCUCUGAGGUGGUACCGUGUGGGCCCAUCAGCCCACCUCGCGCUUGCGUUCUCUUCUGUGGUGUAUCAGCACUGUUUACGAGGGAUGCGUGAUUUGAGAAUCUCCAUUUGGUCUUUGAGCCUGUCUGUUCUGUGACCCCUGGGAUAGCUUGGCUUGCAGUGUACUUGGAGGCCACCAUUGCAUCAAGGGAUAUAUUUUCAGAUGCCUAAGGCCAUAUACUGAGUAUGCUGGUGUGGACAUCGCUGAUGGGAAGGACAAUGUAAAUGAGAAUGAACAGAGAGAGACAGAGCAUGAACGGGG